This 1010-nucleotide ribosomal RNA is filed under the name Providencia rettgeri. Its description in RNAcentral is "partial 23S ribosomal RNA". It matches the Rfam family "Bacterial large subunit ribosomal RNA", at positions 455 to 1348 of the family's 2925-position model. The record is from RNAcentral. Lineage: Bacteria; Pseudomonadati; Pseudomonadota; Gammaproteobacteria; Enterobacterales; Morganellaceae.
AUCCUCCAAGGCUAAAUACUCCUGAUUGACCGAUAGUGAACCAGUACCGUGAGGGAAAGGCGAAAAGAACCCCGGCGAGGGGAGUGAAAUAGAACCUGAAACCGUGUACGUACAAGCAGUGGGAGCCUUGAUUUAUCAGGGUGACUGCGUACCUUUUGUAUAAUGGGUCAGCGACUUAUAUUCUGUAGCAAGGUUAACCGUAUAGGGGAGCCGUAGGGAAACCGAGUCUUAACUGGGCGAAUGAGUUGCAGGGUAUAGACCCGAAACCCGGUGAUCUAGCCAUGGGCAGGUUGAAGGUUGGGUAACACUAACUGGAGGACCGAACCGACUAAUGUUGAAAAAUUAGCGGAUGACUUGUGGCUGGGGGUGAAAGGCCAAUCAAACCGGGAGAUAGCUGGUUCUCCCCGAAAGCUAUUUAGGUAGCGCCUCGUGAACUCAUCUUCGGGGGUAGAGCACUGUUUCGACUAGGGGGUCAUCCCGACUUACCAACUCGAUGCAAACUACGAAUACCGAAGAAUGUUAUCACGGGAGACACACGGCGGGUGCUAACGUUCGUCGUGAAGAGGGAAACAACCCAGACCGCCAGCUAAGGUCCCAAAGUCAUAGUUAAGUGGGAAACGAAGUGGGAAGGCUCAGACAGCCAGGAUGUUGGCUUAGAAGCAGCCAUCAUUUAAAGAAAGCGUAAUAGCUCACUGGUCGAGUCGGCCUGCGCGGAAGAUGUAACGGGGCUAAACUAUGCACCGAAGCUGCGGCAGCGAACGUAUCACUUAAACUGAUUAAGUGAUACUCAAAUGUAUCAAAACGAUUGACGGAGCGAAGCGACGUCAAUGCGUCCAACAAAGUCGAGGCGGAAACGUCAGGCAGUCAGUUUAAGGAUACGUUCGUUGGGUAGGGGAGCGUUCUGUAAGCCUGUGAAGGUGUGCUGUGAGGCAUGCUGGAGGUAUCAGAAGUGCGAAUGCUGACAUAAGUAACGAUAAUGCGGGUGAAAAACCCGCACGCCGGAAGACCAA